Molecule: ribosomal RNA, 427 nt
Filed under: uncultured bacterium
Lineage: Bacteria
Description: bacterial SSU rRNA
Rfam family: Bacterial small subunit ribosomal RNA
Source: RNAcentral
UAGGGAAUAUUGGACAAUGGGGGCAACCCUGAUCCAGCCAUGCCGCGUGAGUGAAGAAGGCCCUCGGGUUGUAAAGCUCUUUUGUCCGGAAAGAAAAGCAUUCGGUGAAUACCCGGAUGUUCUGACGGUACCGGAAGAAUAAGCACCGGCUAACUUCGUGCCAGCAGCCGCGGUAAUACGAAGGGUGCAAGCGUUACUCGGAAUUACUAGGCGUAAAGCGUGCGUAGGUGGUUGUUUAAGUCUGAUGUGAAAGCCCUGGGCUCAACCUGGGAAUGGCAUUGGAAACUGGGCAGCUAGAGUGCGGUAGAGGGUAGUGGAAUUCCCGGUGUAGCAGUGAAAUGCGUAGAGAUCGGGAGGAACAUCUGUGGCGAAGGCGACUGCCUGGACCAGCACUGACACUGAGGCACGAAAGCGUGGGGAGCAAACA